This 35-nucleotide ribosomal RNA is filed under the name Dictyocaulus viviparus bisontis. RNAcentral's name for it is "partial 28S ribosomal RNA". The record is from RNAcentral. Lineage: Eukaryota; Metazoa; Nematoda; Chromadorea; Rhabditida; Metastrongylidae.
UGCAACCUGAACUCAGAUGUGAUUACCCGCUGAAC